UAAGGAAUAUUGGUCAAUGGACGCAAGUCUGAACCAGCCAUGCCGCGUGGAGGAUUAAGGCCCUCUGGGUUGUAAACUCCUUUUAUCUGGGAAGAAAUGUACUUUUUCUUGAGUACUUGACGGUACCAGAGGAAUAAGCACCGGCUAACUCCGUGCCAGCAGCCGCGGUAAUACGGAGGGUGCAAGCGUUAUCCGGAUUCACUGGGUUUAAAGGGUGCGUAGGUGGGCAGGUAAGUCAGUGGUGAAAUCUCCGGGCUUAACCCGGAAACUGCCGUUGNUACUAUUUGUCUUGAAUAUUGUGGAGGUAAGCGGAAUAUGUCAUGUAGCGGUGAAAUGCUUAGAUAUGACAUAGAACACCAAUUGCGAAGGCAGCUUGCUACACAAUCAUUGACGCUGAGGCACGAAAGCGUGGGGAUCAAACA
Molecule: ribosomal RNA, 422 nt
Filed under: uncultured bacterium
Lineage: Bacteria
Description: bacterial SSU rRNA
Rfam family: Bacterial small subunit ribosomal RNA
Source: RNAcentral